Molecule: ribosomal RNA, 425 nt
Filed under: uncultured bacterium
Lineage: Bacteria
Description: bacterial SSU rRNA
Rfam family: Bacterial small subunit ribosomal RNA
Source: RNAcentral
GUGGGGAAUAUUGGACAAUGGGCGAAAGCCUGAUCCAGCAAUGCCGCGUGAGUGAUGAAGGCCCUAGGGUUGUAAAGCUCUUUUACCCGGGAAGAUAAUGACUGUACCGGGAGAAUAAGCCCCGGCUAACUCCGUGCCAGCAGCCGCGGUAAUACGGAGGGGGCUAGCGUUGUUCGGAAUUACUGGGCGUAAAGCGCACGUAGGCGGCUUUGUAAGUUAGAGGUGAAAGCCCGGGGCUCAACCCCGGAAUAGCCUUUAAGACUGCAUCGCUUGAACGUCGGAGAGGUGAGUGGAAUUCCGAGUGUAGAGGUGAAAUUCGUAGAUAUUCGGAAGAACACCAGUGGCGAAGGCGGCUCACUGGACGACUGUUGACGCUGAGGUGCGAAAGCGUGGGGAGCAAACAGGAUUAGAAACCCCGGUAGUCC